Molecule: ribosomal RNA, 1465 nt
Filed under: Lebetus guilleti (Guillet's goby)
Lineage: Eukaryota; Metazoa; Chordata; Actinopteri; Gobiiformes; Gobiidae
Description: partial 16S ribosomal RNA
Rfam family: Bacterial large subunit ribosomal RNA
Source: RNAcentral
ACACUCUUAUCAACUAGCCUGCUCCCCAAUAACAACAAACAACAUUAAUAAGCCCACCAACACAAUUUAAAUUAAACAAACCAUUUUUCCUCCUUAGUAUGGGCGACAGAAAAGGACACAUAGCGCUAUAGAAAAAGUACCGCAAGGGAAAGCUGAAAGAGACAAUGAAACAACCCAGUAAAGAGUAAAAAAGCAGAGACCACCCCUCGUACCUUUUGCAUCAUGACUUAGCUAGCACCCCCGAGCAAAGAGCCCUUUAGUUCGAAGCCCCGAAACUAAGCGAGCUACUUCAAGGCAGCCUUCUAGGGCAAACCCGUCUCUGUGGCAAAAGAGUGGGAAGACCUUUAAGUAGAGGUGAUAGACCUACCGAGCUUAGUUAUAGCUGGUUGCCUACGAAAUGGAUAUAAGUUCAGCCUUUUAACUUCUUCCUUCAAAUAUGGAACCCCUUAUAAUGACACAAAGAAAGUUAAAGGAGUUAUUCAAAGGGGGAACAGCCCCCAUGAAAAAAGAUACAACUUUUUAAGAUGGUUAAAGAUCAAAACAAGUAAGGAUAUGUACCCAAGUGGGCCUAAAAGCAGCCACCUCUUCAGAAAGCGUUAAAGCUCAAGUACUUUUUUACCCUCAAAUUCUGACAACAAAAUCUUAUACCCCUAAUAGUAGUAGGCCUUUUCAUGCAAACAUGAAAGAGACCCUGCUAACAUGAGUAAUAAGAGGGCCCGCCCCUCUCCACAGCACCUGUGUACACCAGAACGAACCCACACUGGAAAUUAACGCUCCCAACACCAGAGGGCCAUGAGAAAAUUAUACUAAACCAGUAAAACUCUCAAACAAUAGCGUUUGCCCCACACAGGAGUGCUCGAGGAAAGACUAAAAGGAAAAGAAGGAACUCGGCAAACACUGGCCUCGCCUGUUUACCAAAAACAUCGCCUCUUGUCCCCCAAGCAUAAGAGGUCCCGCCUGCCCUGUGACUUAGUUCAACGGCCGCGGUAUUUUGACCGUGCAAAGGUAGCGUAAUCACUUGUCUUUUAAAUGAAGACCUGUAUGAAUGGCACAACGAGGGCUAAGCUGUCUCCUUUCCCCAGUCAAUGAAAUUGAUCUUCCCGUGCAGAAGCGGGAAUACCCGCAUAAGACGAGAAGACCCUAUGGAGCUUAAGACACAACGCAGCCAACGUUAAGAACCUUAAAUUAAAAAGUUAAACCAAGUAGCGCCUGCACUUUUGUCUUUGGUUGGGGCGACCGCGGGGCAACAAAAAUCCCCCACGUGGAAUAGGGCUACCCUUAAAGCCAGAGCUUCUACUCUAACAAACAGAACAUCUGACCAACAGAUCCGGCAAGACCGAUCAACGGACCGAGUUACCCUAGGGAUAACAGCGCAAUCCCCUUUCAGAGCCCAUAUCGACAAGGGGGUUUACGACCUCGAUGUUGGAUCAGGACCCCCUAAUGGUGCAGCCGCUAUUAAGGGUUC